This 468-nucleotide ribosomal RNA is filed under the name uncultured bacterium. Its description in RNAcentral is "partial 16S ribosomal RNA". It matches the Rfam family "Bacterial small subunit ribosomal RNA", at positions 28 to 507 of the family's 1533-position model. The record is from RNAcentral.
GACGAACGCUGGCGGCGUGCUUAACACAUGCAAGUCGAACGGAAAGGUCAUGCCGUUGUUGGGUACACGAGUGGCGAACAGGUGAGUAACACGGGAGUAACCGUCCCUAGCCUUUGGGAUAACGUCGGGAAACUGGGGCUAAUACCGGAUAGUAGCGCCUGCUGUUUGGUGGUGCAUGGAAAGUUUCGGCGGGUGGGGAUGGACCCGCGGCUUCUCGGCUUGUUGGUGGGGUAGUGGGUUGGCAAGGCUUUGGCGGUUAGCCGGCCUGAGAGGGUGACCGGCCACAUUGGGCCUGGGAUACGGCCCAGAGUCCUACGGGAGGCAGCAGUGGGGAACAUUGCACACUGGGCGGAAGCCUGAUGCAGCAACGCCGCGUCCGGGAUGACGGCCUUCGGGUUGUAAACCGCUUUCGCCUGUGACGAAGCGUGAGUGACGGUAAUGGGUAAAGAAGCACCGGCUAACUACGUG